UAACAGCAGCUGGCAUCGGUCGGUGCUGGUUUAGUUUCUGUAACCUCAAUCGGACGGAGGGCUGUCGGACAUCUCUCCUGGCCAUGUUUUGUUUUGAUCUGUAACGCGUUGUGUCUGUGCUUCGCAUUCUGUGGAAUCGAUCUCGCGUCUUCCUCAGUGAGCAGCGUCGACGCCGCCACCGCAUUGCCGUCUUCCUCUGCCAGAUCUGCGGCCCAUCAACAAGUUAACCCAAGGGCAAUCAUGGAAUUGCCUUUGAACGAUCCGAAGACGCUGAAUUAAUUGGUGGAAAGGUAGCGUUUUAAUCCUUAUUUCACUAUCUCAUUAGCAUCCUUGGACUAAUCAUACGUUGUUCUACAUCUUAUUAAUAGAUAAUUUGGCUCAGGCUAUGGUUUUUGUAUAUCUGUCCAAAAUUAUAUAUUUAUUUACAAAUUAACAUGCAUGUUUGAAAAAUCAAUAUUGUAAUGUUCAUCUUUUAUUGGAAGUAAAUACAUUUUGUACUGUUACGGCUUACGCUUAAUAAAUACAUGGUUCUGUA
Molecule: long non-coding RNA, 535 nt
Organism: Cimex lectularius (bed bug)
Lineage: Eukaryota; Metazoa; Arthropoda; Insecta; Hemiptera; Cimicidae
Exons: 2
Source: RefSeq, a predicted model, not a curated record